UACAGAGGUCUCAAGCGUUGUUCGGAUUCAUUGGGCGUAAAGGGUGCGUAGGCGGCGCGGUAAGUCGGGUGUGAAAUUUCGGAGCUUAACUCCGAAACUGCAUUCGAUACUGCUGUGCUUGAGGACUGGAGAGGAGACUGGAAUUUACGGUGUAGCGGUGAAAUGCGUAGAUAUCGUAAGGAAGACCAGUGGCGAAGGCGGGUCUCUGGACAGUUCCUGACGCUGAGGCACGAAGGCCAGGGGAGCAAACGGG
Molecule: ribosomal RNA, 253 nt
Filed under: uncultured bacterium
Lineage: Bacteria
Description: partial 16S ribosomal RNA
Rfam family: Bacterial small subunit ribosomal RNA
Source: RNAcentral